CGCCAUCUUGGAUAAGCCAUAUUUAAAUCGAGCGCCCCACUCAUUAUGAUGAAAUUUUCAUGACCGCCAUAUUUAAUUUUUCUGUUCCACUGGGGCCGCCAUCUUGGAUGCCGUCGACUCUGUUUCUGUUGUUUGUUCCUAGAUAGCGCCAGCAACGCUCUUGAUUUUUUUUUGUUCUUCUGGAGGCCGCCUUCUUGGAUACCGUUGACUUUGUGUCUGCUGUUUGUUCCUAGAGAGUGCCAGUGUCGCUCUUUACUUUAUUUUUUUUUUUUCUGGAGGCCACCAUCUUAGAUACCAUUGACAUUGUUUCUGCUGUUUGUUCAUAGAGAGCACCCGCGUCGCUCUGAUAUCACAUAAGGUCGAUGUUCCAUUACCUACCAUAGCUAUUAUGGUCCUUAUCGACAUAUUAAAUUUAAUUUUUUUAACAAAAUACAUUGGAAGCGCUGUGAUUCGAACCAUUGCAGCUCUGAUCUCUAGGUUGGAAAACAUUUGCCUUUAACCGCACAGCCAUCGAGAUAUUUACCAGACUGAGAAUAAAACAAGGUAUAUUGUCGCGGGUUGAAAUUUUGCAGGGUUGUUGAAAUCAAAUUUAGGGACUUUACUGACGGGACUCUGGGCUGGCUGCUCUGUUCACUCGUCAGCGCAAGUGGCGUGACCAUGUAAUUGGGGCACGGGGCCGGCGCGGCGCGCUGCGGGCUUGCAGAAUUUUGUUUGUUUGUUUGGCCGCGCGCUGGCGCAGCCACGGGCCGCAGUUACUGGGGCGCGCUGUCGUAACAAGCCGCGCGGUGUGGCCUGCACAUCGGGGUAGAGGGGGGGUAGUCUUCCCAGAUGUUCUAGUUAGUUGUUUAGUAAAUUUGACUUCAAUAACGAGCUUUUGUUAUGGUAGGCGCGGCAGGGCGCGCGAAUUUAAGCGCAAGUGAUUGGUGACUCGGGGCUCACUCAGGCGGAGGCUAUGCGUCUCACCUGUGGUCACGAGUUGUUAGUUCGUUCGUGAUGUAGGAAUUCAAGCUUUCGGGCGGAAGCUAUGGUCGACGCCAGAGGCCACGAGUCGUUUAAUUUAAGUUAGGUCAUAAUGUAGUCGUCAAGCUUUCGGGCGGAGGCUAUGGCCCUCGUCAGGGGUCACGCGUCAUAGUUUUUAAAAUGUAAUGUUCGUUCGGGAUUUCAAGGGCAGGAGAGGCCCCUACGUUAUUUUUUUUAAAGUAAUCGAUCAAGAAAGGCUUUUCGGAAAAUGUGAGUAUGGACUUAUCUUUGUUUUAAUUUUAAGUAUUAAUUAUGAUUUGAGGUAUUCGGAAGGACUAGGGAAGUGUUUAGUGAAGUUCUCUCAUUCUCUCUCUUGUAAGGUCGUUCAAUCGUUAAGGAAGUAAAGAGAUUAUUGUUUUAAAUUGUAAUCCCGCUAUUUAAAUGUUCUUUAAAAUGAUGUUGAGUAUUUGACUUUAAGAAUAAAAUAAUUUUAAUUAAGUAUUAUGUUAUUUUGCAAAAUCUCCUUAGUUCAGCUCUCACCAGACAUCCUGUACGGGAUGACGAACCUAUGAUCCUAGGUACAGUAAAGUAUUUUAUGAAGUUAAGACUAGUUGAUGCCAAGCGAGUUGUUUCUAUGUAAAGAGCUACGAUGCUCGCCCCCCCUCUGAAGGUGGAUCGUGACAGAAAUGGCGGUGGCACCGGCUAGGAACACGUGACAGAAAUGGUGGAGGCGCCGGGUAAGUUCUAUUUCUGGAGAGAGAGAGAGGUAGAUUUUUAUGUUUAUUAUUAAGUUAGUUUCAGCUUCUGAUAGCAGGUUAUUAAGAGUUUAAUUGAGGAGAGGAUUACGGAAUUUAAUCUAAGUGGAGGAAGUCUUUGAGAUUUUUUUUUGACGUAACAGAUGUUUAUUUGAGUAUACUUGUAAGGAUAAAGUUUAUAGUGAUAAGUUGUUUUAAGUCGUUGAGUUUAUCAGGGAUUUUUACGUGAGGAGAAUACGUUAUAAUUUAAAUGAUUAAUAGAGAUAAUGCAAGUGGUUUAAUUUAAUUGAAAUUAAUUUUAAGAUUGUAGGUUAAGAGAGUUAAAAUUUAAAAUAAAGUUUUUUUCGUAAAUAGGAAUUAUUUUCAAGUGAAGUUUGUUUUGCUGUCGUGCGCGUAGGAGACGAGACGUACGAAUUAAAUCAGUCGAGGGAAGGAUAAACGUUAGAAAGGAAUUAAAGAGAAAACGAGAGUUUAUGUAAAAGAGAGUUAUAGAAUUUAUAGUGAUGUUUUGUUUUAAUUAGAAAAAUGUUGAGAGUUGUUUCAGAACGACACGUCAGUGGACGUGGCAGAGUGAACACGUGACGGGGAGGUGCUGAGACCUAGCGGAGAACGGAGGAACCGCAAGCGAGGGUUGGCGCACCUGAUGGAAUUCGGUGACGUCACGGGCUCAUACGGAGACGUGGACAGGCCGUGACCUUGUUUUGAUCAGCUGUACGGUAACUUAGCGAUAAGAAAAUAGACUAUUGGUUAAAUAAAUUUAAAUUUAAGUGUGUUUUAGGAGAAGAGGAACUUUCAGUAUAUUCCUUAAGAUGAGCUGAGCAGCAGUCCAGUUUACAAGAUGACAAGAGUUCGAGAGACAAGAUACAAGAUCACUGAAACAAGAGCCAAGACUGAAGAUUCAAGAGAAGAGAAAGCUGGCAGCCAUGGACUUACAAGUGGAGAUUAAUAAGGUCAUGUAAAGUUUUAUUUUUUUUUAUGGAAGACAGUAACUGGAGUUUUUUUUGUUAUAAACAUUAUUUACAGAACUUUUUAGGUUAUAGUAAUGUAAUGGAACUAGUGAGUUGUGGUAGCUGUCAAAAAGAACUAAUACCUUAAGUUUAAUUUUUAAAGUUAAUUUUCUUAAUUUACAGAGGGAUUAGUAGUUUUUUUUAAACCUUAUUUAGGUUGGAAUUUAAAUACAAUAGCUUAUUAUAAAUGUGUACGAACAGUUCAAGUUCACCGUACUGAUAGGUAGGUCAGAUGAUCUUAUUGAUUUUGAUGAUUUGUUGUUUUGAGUUGAUUUUUAAGUGUUGUGAAUUAGACAAUGAAAUAGUUCUGAAAACUUAAAUUAUUUCAAGCUAAGAAAUAGUAAAGUUAAUUGUAACUCGAAGGACACCAGAAUUUAAUUUUUUUUUUUGAAUUAGUAAUGUUUGAAAAUUUUAUACUUUACAAGAAAGGUUAUAAACAAACAGAUCGGAUGGAACAAGGAUGCAGUAAAUCACAAUUUCAUUUAGAAUUAUUGAUUUGCUUUUGAGGUUAUGAAGGAAAAGUAGCUAUAAUUUAAAAAUUUGAAUAAAAAUGGUUUUUUUUUAAUUUGUUUGAAAUAGAAAGUUUAAAAGUUAAUUAGUCAUGAUCUAGGUGGGUGAUGGGGUGGGAAUUGGCCACUCUUUUUCCCUAUAACCUCCCUAACAUGGCCUUCUAUUACAACUAACAGAAAUAAAGAAGAAGAAAAAUGAAGAAUUAUUAGUUAGAAUGUUUUUUUCAUGAAGAUACCUGAUGAACUUUUUUUUAUUGUUGGGAAGAAUAGUAGCAAGAUUAAUCAGAUGUUUUACUCCGAAGAAGAAGAAGAAGAUAAAGCAGUUUUAUGACUCGACAAGCCAGAGAUUGGUGUUUCCCCUCUGCGCUUCUAUUGACUACGUUGUUUACUCUCAUGGGAUAGCUGGUUCGGCACCAUGGAGAGAGAUUGGUGGGCAUUGUGGUUGCCCCCAGAAGAAAAGAAGAGUAGAAGAGGUUAUGGGUGGGUCAUGUGAACUGACCUUCAACCCAGUUACUUCGUGGGGACUAUUUGCUGUAUAGAGAAGAUCAAGACUCAAGAGUUAGGGAAAAUCAUUGGAGGUCAUGUUUCCCUUCCUUAAGUUUUUCCUAUCAAAUUAUUUGCCUGAUUAGAUUAUGCUAAGGGUGGGAUACUUUAUGUUAGCAGUUGAAUUAAUUAAUUUUAUUUUUUUGUGUGUUUGCAUCCUUGCCCAUCGAUUGCAGUUUAGUAGUUAGUUUUGUAUUUGUCAGGCGUGAUGGUAAUGCCUGUUGAUGAUGUUUCAGAAUUGUAAUCUGUUCGUGAUGAGGAUGGCACAACUCCGAAGCAGAUGUGGGGAGAAGUUGUGAGCUGCCCUGGAAGCCAGUCCAGUAGCUGUUGGAGUUGAGUGGUGUUUGCUGAUGGCCAGCCCAGGGAGCUACUCUUCUCGACAACACUGACUUCGAGGAGUUGCACCAACCUUCACGAGAUAAGAGUUUAAUUAAUUGAAACACUGUAAGGACACUUAAUUUUUUUUUGAAGAACGAAAGAAGUAUGGUAAUAAACGGAAACUGAAAAAAAAAAAUAAUAAUUAUCAAGAAUUUGCACAUUGUUUAACGAAUACUGAGAAACUAAGAACAGUAAUUUAAUUUGUAAAGAGAGCUUCACUAACAGAACAAUUUUUUUAGAAUUGAGAACUCGAGCCUCUGAAGGUUCCUGUGAGAACAAACCAGAUAAAAGUUUUACAUUUAAUUUUAUGAAUACUUGUUGUUUUAAAAUAAAUCUUAUGCAGAAUCUAGAUGUAUGUUCAGACAGCAAGGAACUAAGAAAAUUAUUAUUUUUGUGAAAUGAGGAAUUUAUAGUUAUGGUUUAAUGGAAAAAGACAAUUUGUAAUUUUGAGGUAGCUCGAUGGGGCUCGAGCUCUGUGAGGGGAGGGUUAUGUCGCGGGUUGAAAUUUUGCAGGGUUGUUGAAAUCAAAUUUAGGGACUUUACUGACGGGACUCUGGGCUGGCUGCUCUGUUCACUCGUCAGCGCAAGUGGCGUGACCAUGUAAUUGGGGCACGGGGCCGGCGCGGCGCGCUGCGGGCUUGCAGAAUUUUGUUUGUUUGUUUGGCCGCGCGCUGGCGCAGCCACGGGCCGCAGUUACUGGGGCGCGCUGUCGUAACAAGCCGCGCGGUGUGGCCUGCACAUCGGGGUAGAGGGGGGGUAGUCUUCCCAGAUGUUCUAGUUAGUUGUUUAGUAAAUUUGACUUCAAUAACGAGCUUUUGUUAUGGUAGGCGCGGCAGGGCGCGCGAAUUUAAGCGCAAGUGAUUGGUGACUCGGGGCUCACUCAGGCGGAGGCUAUGCGUCUCACCUGUGGUCACGAGUUGUUAGUUCGUUCGUGAUGUAGGAAUUCAAGCUUUCGGGCGGAAGCUAUGGUCGACGCCAGAGGCCACGAGUCGUUUAAUUUAAGUUAGGUCAUAAUGUAGUCGUCAAGCUUUCGGGCGGAGGCUAUGGCCCUCGUCAGGGGUCACGCGUCAUAGUUUUUAAAAUGUAAUGUUCGUUCGGGAUUUCAAGGGCAGGAGAGGCCCCUACGUUAUUUUUUUUAAAGUAAUCGAUCAAGAAAGGCUUUUCGGAAAAUGUGAGUAUGGACUUAUCUUUGUUUUAAUUUUAAGUAUUAAUUAUGAUUUGAGGUAUUCGGAAGGACUAGGGAAGUGUUUAGUGAAGUUCUCUCAUUCUCUCUCUUGUAAGGUCGUUCAAUCGUUAAGGAAGUAAAGAGAUUAUUGUUUUAAAUUGUAAUCCCGCUAUUUAAAUGUUCUUUAAAAUGAUGUUGAGUAUUUGACUUUAAGAAUAAAAUAAUUUUAAUUAAGUAUUAUGUUAUUUUGCAAAAUCUCCUUAGUUCAGCUCUCACCAGACAUCCUGUACGGGAUGACGAACCUAUGAUCCUAGGUACAGUAAAGUAUUUUAUGAAGUUAAGACUAGUUGAUGCCAAGCGAGUUGUUUCUAUGUAAAGAGCUACGAUGCUCGCCCCCCCUCUGAAGGUGGAUCGUGACAGAAAUGGCGGUGGCACCG
Bacillus rossius redtenbacheri is the source of this 5754-nucleotide long non-coding RNA. RefSeq lists it as uncharacterized. The transcript is spliced from 2 exons. The record is from RefSeq and is a predicted model, not a curated record. Lineage: Eukaryota; Metazoa; Arthropoda; Insecta; Phasmatodea; Bacillidae.